Molecule: non-coding RNA, 655 nt
Filed under: Trichomonas vaginalis G3
Lineage: Eukaryota; Parabasalia; Trichomonadida; Trichomonadidae
Description: Eukaryotic large subunit ribosomal RNA
Rfam family: Eukaryotic large subunit ribosomal RNA
Source: Rfam by way of RNAcentral
GAGGGUGAAAAGUUCCUGAACUUGCUUAGGGUUAAGGCUAUUUAUAGUACCCGUCUUGAAACACGGAUUAGGGAGUUUAUCUGUAGUGCGAGUCUUUGCACGUUAACUGUAAAGGCGUAGAGAAAGCAACUGGCGUUUGCAUGGCUAUUGAGCAUUACUGAUAGGACCCGAAAGGUGGUGAACUUUGCCUGCACAGGUUGAAGUCAGGGGAAACUCUGAUGGAGGACCGUACGGGUUAUUGAUGUGCAAAUCAUUUUUUUGAUGUAGGUAAAGGUGCGAAAGACUCAUCGAACCACCUAAUAGCUGGUUUCCUCCGAAGUUUCCCUCAGGAUAGCUGUAAUGCAUUUAGUUAAGGGGAGUAGAGAUAUGGGUAGAGGUGCAGGGAGCCUUCGGGUUCUCAACUUAUUUCCAAACUUCGAACCUCCUUGUUAGGCAUUUACCUAACUGGAAAUGCUUAAAUGAAUUAGCGUUACAAGUGGGCUCUGACCGGUAAGCGGUCAUGGCGAAAUGGGAUGAACCAUACGUCUGAAUAAGGUGCCGAAAUGUACUAUCACUGAUACCAUAAAGGGAGUCCAUGUAUUUAGACAGCAGGUCGGUGCCCCUAAAAGCAGGUAUCCGCUAAAGAGUGUGUUAAAACUCACCUGCCGAAUACUAG